AUGGCUGGUUGGUUAGUAAUAGUAUGCUCCUUUUCUUUUUACCUGGGGCGUCUGUCGCCUGCCAACCGGUCUGAUUCUUAUUCUUGUGCCAAUGUAGGCAAGGCAUAUCACUGUGAACACACCAUCAUGAAUAAUUUUGCUAACGCCGUAUUUCAAGGACUUGACUCAUUGCAGUCGUUUAUGCUUUUAUGGAAUUCUGGUUUCCAUGCCGUUGUCUUGUCUCACAUUCUUGUUGAUUAUAAUCUGUAUUUGCUUGCCCUUUUACCAUUCAAACUCCCAACAAUUGGUUUUGAUAAUUAA
This 300-nucleotide ribosomal RNA is filed under the name Triticum aestivum (bread wheat). RNAcentral's name for it is "partial small subunit ribosomal RNA". The record is from RNAcentral. Lineage: Eukaryota; Viridiplantae; Streptophyta; Magnoliopsida; Poales; Poaceae.